RNAcentral lists this long non-coding RNA (1834 nucleotides) under Rosa chinensis. RNAcentral's name for it is "sRNA RchiOBHm_Chr2g0151531". Lineage: Eukaryota; Viridiplantae; Streptophyta; Magnoliopsida; Rosales; Rosaceae. The record is from RNAcentral.
CCUUUAUCCCCAUUUACUCCCACCAAACCCGACGACCACUCUUACUCUUCCAAAACAGCCCCAAUUGCUCUCUCCAACCAGCAACCCAUAUACUCAAAAUCAAAACCUAGCUAACCACUUACACCGUUUCAUUUCUCUUCAGCAUAGAAAUCAAACCAUUUGCAGUGGAUUUCUUGAAACCCUAGAAAUCAUAGUGGGAAUGGGAAGAAUAUUGCUCCGGCGAAGGUGGGUUUUGUUUUGGCUUCAUUUUAGUCAAACCCUAUAUUGGAUUGGUUUGUGAGUACAAUAGAUUGAGGGUCUCUCUUUCCGCUUCCCACAUGCCCAAGUGCGAAAUCUGCCAGGUACGAGUUCAUUUCAGUCCUCUCUAACAAACCCUAAAGCGGCCAUCAAAGGUUUAUUUACAGAAAUUGAAAGGUUCUGGAUUCUGGUACAAAGGGUUCUGGGUUUGUAAUUGGGUUUCUCAAAAAUUGGGGGUUGGGGAUUGUCUCAUCCUCUCUACAUCUGCUUAGAUUAGGGGUUGGGGGUUGUCUCGACUUGAGAUUUAGUGUCUUUCUCGACUUUUGUUUGGAAUUGGACGCCCAAUUCUGUGCUCAGUGAAGGGGCCUUCAAGGGACUAGGGGACUUUUUGAAGGAGGAGUUGGACUCGGAUUCGGAAUAUGAGUCGGAGAGUGAGGUGGUUGAGCCUGCUAAUGAAGACGAGCUGGCUUUUUCGAAAUUAGGCUUGCCCAGCAGCUUGUGGAUAGCCUUGAGAAGCAUGGCUUUUCUUCCCUUUUUCCCAUUCAUUCAGAUUGAGGUCUAAGAUAUAGAACCACUGUCAAUAGAAUGGAUAACAGUAACCAUGCUUUCUCUGGGUAGACAGAGAAAGCAUGUCACCCUCAUCCAUUCUAUUGACAGAGGAGGAAGGACUUGUUACGGUGGCCGUGGAGGCGGUUUCGGCCAUAUAUAGAAAAAGAGAAGUAUUUUGUUUUGGGUUUGGGUUUUGAUUUUGAUUUUGUUGCUUGCAGUUCUGUUUGGUAUUUGAGAAAAGUGUGUGUGUGUUUAUGCAUAGGCAAAUGAUUCUAUGUGUGUUUGCAUUUGCUUUGGAAGCUCAAAUGUGAUAUUUAUAUCAUUCCUUACCAUUUUUUUUUCUUUUGAAAGCUCAACUGGGAUCGAGUUGAUCGAGAACUUCUCUGGGCACCCCAGAGUUCUGUAUUAAUGUUCAUUAAUUGGGAGAUGCUUCAAACAGAUAAGUCUCUCUUAUCCAUUGACUGAAAGCUAUAUACGUUUUAAUGUCUACUUAUGUUAUUUAACCAUGCCUAUAAAUGCACGACAUUCUUGAUCAAUGAAGCAAUUAAUGCCCAUAUAUCAAGAGCAUAACAUUUUUUUGCCAUUUCUCUAUACUGGCAUCAUGAUUAGUUUAUUCACAAGUGAGCAUGUGUCAUUGAGAAAAGGUAUCAAAACCAUGUAGAUUCCUCUUACGCUAGCUGACUUUUAAUUGAGCUGCAACAUACAUGCAUAUGAACUCAUUUUGCUGUGUCAUACAUGUAUAACAUCCUCAUCCUUGAUUCAUGCCUUUAUCUCAAAAGACCUUAAUGCGUAAAUAUUAUGCUUGAGUUGCAAUGUUGUACGUACAUAAUUCACUUCUUGCAGCUCAUCUUAUUUUUGUCUCAAUUAAUUAAAAUGACAUUUGUAUGUUAUGGUGAUUGCUUUGCCGCAAGCAGUGAUUGAGAAAACCAAUCUGAAUCCCAAGGAAGUUGGGGAUAUUGUUCUCGGUACCGUGUUGGCUCCAGGUCUCAAAGAGCUAGCAAAUGCAGGAUAGCUGCUUCUAUAAGAGCUACAUCAGUUAUGACAUUGG